RNAcentral lists this long non-coding RNA (436 nucleotides) under Ananas comosus (pineapple). RNAcentral's name for it is "long non-coding RNA (ACOM_LNC027469)". Lineage: Eukaryota; Viridiplantae; Streptophyta; Magnoliopsida; Poales; Bromeliaceae. The record is from RNAcentral.
GAUUAGAGGGUGAGAGAAGAUAAAGAGUCAUUUUGUAUUAUUAUUUAGGAUUAAUUGCAUACAAGUCUUGCAAAUAUAGUAAAUUACAAAUAUAUUCCUACAAAGUUCAGCUUUCAUAUAUUAUCCUUAUAAAAAUCCUAAUAUUUUUAAAUAUGUUCCUACAAUUAAAAUUCGUUAGAAAAAUUUAGUUAACCAUAGAUUAAAUAGUUAACCCUGAUUACUUUAUGAGAUAACUUGACAUUUUUAUUCCAUUUAUAUUAUACCAUUGUCGCUUUUGAAGGGCAUAUUUGUGAUAACAAAAUUGAAAAUAUAAAUAGUUUUCUAACGAUUUUUUAACGGUAGCAAAUCAUAAAAAUAUAUUUGAAAAUAUUAGAACUUUUAUAGGAACAAUAUAUGAAAGUGAACUUUAUAAGGAUAUAUUUAAAAUUCAUUAUUU